This is a long non-coding RNA of Alexandromys fortis (reed vole), 990 nucleotides long. RefSeq lists it as uncharacterized. The transcript is spliced from 3 exons. NCBI's taxonomy places the organism in Eukaryota, Metazoa, Chordata, Mammalia, Rodentia, Cricetidae. The record is from RefSeq and is a predicted model, not a curated record.
UAACAACCUGAGUCUCUCAAGCAUCUGUAAGAACGUACAAAUUAAGAAGGGAUAGUUUGAAGAUGACAUUGCAUUUUGGCAGCUCUUUGAGCAGACAGGAAACACCACCUGGAGGGACACCGCAGAGGACUCUCCCUAUCUCCUGCUAUCUUGCUAGCCAGCAUUCCUCUCAAGGCUCAUGAGCCUGUGCUUUAGUGAGGCCCACAAGGCACAACUCCCGGUUUAGUCUGAAGCCCAAAGUUUCCUUUCUGAAGUUUUGUGUUUUUGAGUCCCAGAUUUCUGAAACAAGCAGCGCCUUCCUUGUUUUUGUUCACACCACACUUCUCUUAUAUGGAGGAUCCACCCACCGCUUCUUGGCAUUCCUUUCCUCUCUGACUUCGCAUCUCUAUCACACAAACUUUGGAUGGCGAUGCAGAGUGGCUCCAGGAAAGCGCCUGCCACUCUUCAGCACGGGGUGAAAUACAUUCCCCGAGGGAAAAAGAAGAGGUACACGUGGCUGCCAUAAGUCCGAAGCACAAACGUAAGGGAGAAAGCCUUAAAUCAGACCAACAGGGUGUGUCAGGAGCAGCUGUGUUCCGGUAAUGGGAGAUCUGCGGGAAGAACUGAUGACUGUCCUCAAGCACCGUGAAUACAAACGGAAGUGGCUCAAGCCUUCUGGAAACCCACACAGACAUUUGUGCAGAACUCAUGAAACAAAAGGCUGGCUUCAUACUGUAAGAGAUUAUUGUGGUGGUCCUAUUCUGCUCAGGUGGAUUCUUGGGAAGCUAGUCUAGAGUUGAGAGUAGAAGCAAUAGUCCACACUUCUGGCUGUCUCACCCCAAGAAGCAAACACCCUCUCCUCGCUCCCUGUUCUGAUCAUCUGUGAAGAGCAACAACUGUGUGAGCUGGAGCUUUGGUUUCUUUUGAGUACAAGGAUUUGAAUUCUGCCAACUAUGCCAAGCUUGGAAGAGGACUUGAACCGUCUGCUCCCCUCAACUACGCUGAUCCAGA